UAUAUACAAGAACCCAAACUA
RNAcentral lists this non-coding RNA (21 nucleotides) under Caenorhabditis elegans. The record is from RNAcentral. Lineage: Eukaryota; Metazoa; Nematoda; Chromadorea; Rhabditida; Rhabditidae.